This is a non-coding RNA of Monodelphis domestica (gray short-tailed opossum), 444 nucleotides long. The record is from RefSeq and is a predicted model, not a curated record. NCBI's taxonomy places the organism in Eukaryota, Metazoa, Chordata, Mammalia, Didelphimorphia, Didelphidae.
CCUUUUGGAGGAUCUCUGAUGAGGACCGCUUGGGAAGAAUCUCUUGAGAGAGGCCUUUUGGAACAGUCUCUGGCUGGAAGGCUCUCUGGUGAAGUCAUCUGAGAUGGAGCUGGCCUGAUGUCACUAGAAUCCUUGUUUAGUCAGACCUUGUGGUGCUCUGGGAUCUAGGGACACUGACUUCCUGGCUAGUCCCACAAAGAAGACACUCUAUCUCCAGAAUCAGGGGCAUUUUCUCUGAUUGUGCCCCCAUACCUGGGAUGUUCUUCCUCAUCUUUGCCUCCUGCCUUCCUUCAAGUUUCUGCUAAAUUCUUUCUUCUAAAUUCCUCUGGAUUGUCCUGGAUUAUUGCAUUGCUACUAGUAGAGAAGUCUAUUACAUUCAAUUGUGCCACAGUGUCUCAGUCUCUGUGUACAAUGUUCUCCUGGUUCUAUUCCUUUCACUCUGCA